GCAAUCUUGAGGGGACUUUAAAAUAAAGAAGACUCUAACCUUGCAAGACAUCUUUGGUCUGUGUGAGCGUAUCCACCUGUGUUUGAAGCUGACUGCACUUUACCUCCAGACCUGAGGCUUGUUCCUGAACCUGAGCCAUCUGCUCCUGGAGACAAACCACCACACCUCUGAAGAGACAAAAGCAGAGACGCAGUCUUCAGUUCCCUGCGCAAACCCGCCAUCUCGGAGCCAAGUGCCUGGAUUUGGGCUUGGGCUUCUGCCACCUCGGUCUCCAGCUGAGGAGUCAGGGAGACAAAAUCACAACUCUCAUCCGUCCAAC
Molecule: non-coding RNA, 319 nt
Organism: Paramisgurnus dabryanus
Lineage: Eukaryota; Metazoa; Chordata; Actinopteri; Cypriniformes; Cobitidae
Source: RefSeq, a predicted model, not a curated record